CAGUAGCCGCGGUAAUACGAAGGGUGCAAGCGUUAAUCGGAAUUACUGGGCGUAAAGCGUACGUAGGCGGUGAGUUAAGUCUGCUGUGAAAUCCCCGGGCUCAACCUGGGAAUGGCAGUGGAUACUGGCUCGCUAGAGUGUGUCAGAGGAUGGUGGAAUUCCCGGUGUAGCGGUGAAAUGCGUAGAGAUCGGGAGGAACAUCAGUGGCGAAGGCGGCCAUCUGGGACAACACUGACGCUGAGGCACGAAAGCGUGGGGAGCAAACAGGAUUAGAUACCCCCGUAGUCCCUGUCUCUUAUAC
RNAcentral lists this ribosomal RNA (301 nucleotides) under uncultured bacterium. Its description in RNAcentral is "partial 16S ribosomal RNA". It matches the Rfam family "Bacterial small subunit ribosomal RNA", at positions 509 to 807 of the family's 1533-position model. The record is from RNAcentral.